GCUGCUUGCCUUCUACCUUCACUGCUUCCUCCCGCACUGCUUCCUCCUGCACUGUCAAUCCCACCUCUUUCACCUUGGUUACCAAAACCUCCGCCAACUUUUCCAAAGAAGCUUCUGCAACUCCGCCAAUUCCGAUAGCAAUAAUCAUUAUUAUAAUCAUGAUCAGAGUUCCAUCCACUUGGACCCCCAUAGCUGCUCUCAUCUUCAACGUCCCCUCCAUGACCAAAACCACUUAAAGCACUAUAAAUGCUAAAAACAAGAAAAAUCAUGCACAAUAAUUUAGUAGACAUUCUAGAAGAAACAAGGCUUAUGUAGCCAAGC
RNAcentral lists this unclassified non-coding RNA (321 nucleotides) under Hevea brasiliensis (rubber tree). Lineage: Eukaryota; Viridiplantae; Streptophyta; Magnoliopsida; Malpighiales; Euphorbiaceae. The record is from RNAcentral.